Molecule: ribosomal RNA, 1110 nt
Filed under: Helicobacter pylori
Lineage: Bacteria; Pseudomonadati; Campylobacterota; Epsilonproteobacteria; Campylobacterales; Helicobacteraceae
Description: bacterial SSU rRNA
Rfam family: Bacterial small subunit ribosomal RNA
Source: RNAcentral
CGCACGGGUGAGUAACGCAUAGGUCAUGUGCCUCUUAGUUUGGGAUAGCCAUUGGAAACGAUGAUUAAUACCAGAUACUCCUACGGGGAAAAGAUUUAUCGCUAAGAGAUCAGCCUAUGUCCUAUCAGCUUGUUGGUAAGGUAAUGGCUUACCAAGGCUGUGACGGGCAUCCGGCGUGAGAGGGUGAACGGACACACUGGAACUGAGACACGGUCCAGACUGGUACGGGAGGCAGCAGUAGGGAAUAUUGCUCAUGGGGGAAACCCUGAAGCAGCACGCCGCGUGGAGGAUGAAGGUUUUAGGAUUGUUAACAAAAAUUUGUUAGAGAAGAUCAUGACGGUAUCUACGAACGAAUAAGCACCGGCUAACUCCGUGCCAGCAGCCGCGGUAAUACGGAGGGUGCAAGCGUUACUCGGAAUCACUGGGCGUAAUGAGCGCGUAGGCGGGAUAGUCAGUCAGGUGUGAAAUCCUAUGGCUUAACCAUAGAAGUUUGAAACUACUAUUCUAGAGUGUGGGAGAGGUAGGUUUGGUAACCCAUGGNAUUCUUGGUGUAGGGGCCAAAUCCGUAGAGAUCGGCAGGAAUUCUCCUUGCGAAGGCGACCUGCUGAACAUUACCUGACGCUGAUUGCCAAAAGCGUGGGGAGCAAACAGGAUUAGAUACCCUUGUAGUCCACGCCCUAAACGAUGGAUCCUUGUUGUUGGAGGGCUUAGUCUCUCCAGUAAUGCACGUAACGCAUUAAGCAUUUUCCCGGGAAAACCCGCCUGGGGAGUACGGUCGCAAGAUGCCCUAAACGAUGGAUGCUAGUUGUUGGAGGGCUUAGUCUCUCCAGUAAUGCAGCUAACGCAUUAAGCAUCCCGCCUGGGGAGUACGGUCGCAAGAUUAAAACUCAAAGGAAUAGACGGGGACCCGCACAAGCGGUGGAGUUUCUUAGUUGCUAACAGGUCAACUCUAAGGAUACUAGCCUCCUAAGGAGGAGGAAGGUAGGGACGACGUCAAGUCUUCUGGCCCUUACCCUAGGGCUACCCGUGCUACNAUGGGGUGCACAAAGAGAAGCGGUACUGGGAAGUGGAGCCAAUCUUCAAAACACCUCUCAGUUCGGAUUGUAGGCU